RNAcentral lists this long non-coding RNA (285 nucleotides) under Elaeis guineensis (African oil palm). RNAcentral's name for it is "long non-coding RNA (EGUI_LNC028077)". The record is from RNAcentral. Lineage: Eukaryota; Viridiplantae; Streptophyta; Magnoliopsida; Arecales; Arecaceae.
UUUGAGCCCCUCCUAAUACCUUUAUAUGACUUGAAAUUACAAUAAUGACUCAUUUAUUUACAUAUACAUGCCAUUAUUUUGGAUACCCUUUUUAAUGAUCAGCUUCAAAUAAAUCCAAAAAAUUUCUUCUAUAUCUUAACAGUAUGACAUUUGAUGUUACCAUUUAUCUAUCUACAAUAGUUAAUAUUCAGUUGUCUUUUUCAUUUUUCAUAGCAAAGCUAUGAUAGUGGCAGCACCCUCUUGCUUACAUGAAGAGUUGGAAGUUCAACCUUAGUUUAGUACAAC